Molecule: transfer RNA, 82 nt
Filed under: Imasa heleensis
Lineage: Eukaryota; Malawimonada; Malawimonadea; Malawimonadida; Imasidae
Description: tRNA-Ser
Rfam family: tRNA
About the family: Transfer RNA (tRNA) molecules are approximately 80 nucleotides in length. Their secondary structure includes four short double-helical elements and three loops (D, anti-codon, and T loops).
Source: RNAcentral
GGAAGAAUGACCGAGCGGUUUAAGGUGUAUGUCUUGAAAACAUAUGUACAACACAUCGUGGGUUCGAAUCCCACUUCUUCCG